This 66-nucleotide transfer RNA is filed under the name Semibalanus balanoides (northern acorn barnacle). RNAcentral describes it as "tRNA-Cys". Lineage: Eukaryota; Metazoa; Arthropoda; Thecostraca; Balanomorpha; Balanidae. The record is from RNAcentral.
AAUGGUGUAUUUUAAUAAAAAUAUCACUCUGCAAAGGUGAAGUUACUUUUAAUCGAGUUACCAUUU